RNAcentral lists this long non-coding RNA (1484 nucleotides) under Lytechinus variegatus (green sea urchin). RNAcentral describes it as "uncharacterized LOC121425714, transcript variant X2". The record is from RNAcentral. Lineage: Eukaryota; Metazoa; Echinodermata; Echinoidea; Temnopleuroida; Toxopneustidae.
UGGUAUGAAAAUGAUAUUUUUUAAUGAUUGUUCAUGCAUUAGGGCAAACCCCUGUGUGGCAGGAGCAUGAUGAGUAAAAAAAAUGAAAUAGUAGAAAGAAAGAGGCCGAAACAUAUGGCACGUGGGAAUAAAGUUGCUUUAUAUGUUCCAAGCGAAUGAAGCAAGCGAGAAAAAACCUUUCGUGCAAAUCUAAAUUUGAGACAGAUAUCUUACCUUACACUUUUCCUAAUUUUGGUUUCUUUAAUUCCCUUCAUUUUUUUAUAUCUUGGUUGUACGUAGAACAUUCGGGGGGCAUGCACUGGGCAUAACCCUGGCUUGUGUACCCCAGUGCUAAAUCAGCAGGUGGGUUUUGAUAUCUCUGGAUCUUUAGCAAUUUUAAAACUUUUUAUAGUUGUAAUGGAUGAGAAAAUCCCUGCAAUCUGAUUGGUUGAGAGCAAUGCAAAAAUUUUACUGGGCUGCAUGAACGAUAUCCCGAUAAUCAAAACGCAACGAUAUCCACUGUAAACAAGCAAUCGUCCGAAAAGGUCAUUGUGAUGUCAUCGCGCAUGUACUGUUACCGUCGCUUGUUUACGUCAAAAUUUGAAUUUCGAUCAAAGCAGAAUGAAUCAAAGGAUGCAAAAUGAUCUAUUCCCAUUCAGCCAUUGGACUGAACCGGUACCAAGACCGGAACUGUAACACAGUAAGGAUGGUCAAUAUGAAGCGAGCUUCAUUGAAUUCCUCCAAGAGCUCUGUACUCUGUUCUGAUCAUUUUGAAGAUGCUUGCUUUGACCUGGGCAGACGAUACGUCUUAAACAGGAUGCUGUCCCAACCAUAUUUGAUUUCCCGCCUCGUCUUCAGAAGAAUUCACCCAAACCAAGGUAUUUCCCAAAAGACUUUUCGAUUCAGCAAACAACCUCCCAGAUACUGCAAAGACACCAGUGCCAAAGUCUUCAGCACCUUAAUUUCUCGAAGACCACUCCUACUGAAUACCAGAAAGUCCAAGAGGGGUAAAGUGGAAGUCAACAACAAUAAUGGACUGUAUUAAAACUUGGAGAAGAGGCUGAAAACCACACAGAAGUCCUACCUUAUACAUUACUUGCUUUUAAGUUUGGACAAACAUUGAUUUGCACAACUUUACAACAAAAAAUUUACGCUGUGUGGAUUCUGAUUAUUUAAAAUAGCUCAAUGAAAACGUUUAUCACUGGGCAUGUAACAAAAAUGAAUUCAUUGAAUUUGAAGAUGUCUUACAGUAUAUUCAUUCUGAUUUGAAUGUCAGAAGAGAAAAAAGUUUGUGAAAAGUAGGAAUGACGGCAAGCUGACAGAAGAAUAGAAUACAUGUAGGAUAGAACAAGGCCACAGUUAUAAAUGAGCUGUUGGAUAGAGACAAAAAGAUGAAUUAAGAAUGGGGGUGAUAGAGAAAUAGAGACAGGAAUUGGGGAGCCUGUGAUGAAUGCCUGAGAAAGUAAAAAUUACCAUAUUUUAUUUUUUUAAGGAUUUGAACAGUC